CCUUAGUAAUUGCGAAUGAACAAGGAAAUGCUCAGCUUGAAAAAUGGGGCCUUUGGCUUUGAAUUGUAAUUUUGAAAUGUAUUGCCAAUGGAGGCGCAGGUGCAAGCCUAUUGAAAGAAAGCGUCAAUGAGGGUGAGAUUCCUUUUUGUCAUUUGCAGUCCUCCGUGCACGGUAUAUAUUUGACGAGUCACACUCCUCGGCAUUGGAAUGCAAAGUGGGUGGUAAAUUCCAUGUAAAGGUAAAUAUAUUAUUGAGACUGAUAGCAAACAAGUACCAUGAGGGAAAUAUGAAAAGGACUUUGAAAAGAGAAUUAAAAGAGUCUGCAUUUGCUGAACAGAAAGCAAACAGAAUUGAUUUUACUUGGUGAGAUUGUUGUGCUUACUCUAUCAUUUAUAUGGUUGAUGUGGGUGCGAUGGUUCUUACCUUGAAUGUCAGCUUCUAUUUCUGCAAAUCAUUACCCUUGCACAUGAAUGGUAAUUUGCCUGCGGGUAUUGGAAUGCAUGUGUUUGCAAUGAUUUGUGAUUUGACGCAUGUGUUUGGUGAAAUUUGUAUAUGCUCUUUUGUCGAAGGGGAAAGCUUACUUUUUUGAGCAUUGCAAGCCCUUACACAUCAGUGCUGGCAAAAUGUUUCUGCUUGACCCGUCUU
This 645-nucleotide ribosomal RNA is filed under the name Alexandrium minutum. Its description in RNAcentral is "partial large subunit ribosomal RNA". It matches the Rfam family "Eukaryotic large subunit ribosomal RNA", at positions 78 to 655 of the family's 3401-position model. Lineage: Eukaryota; Dinophyceae; Gonyaulacales; Pyrocystaceae. The record is from RNAcentral.